Molecule: long non-coding RNA, 1449 nt
Filed under: Strigops habroptila (Kakapo)
Lineage: Eukaryota; Metazoa; Chordata; Aves; Psittaciformes; Psittacidae
Description: lncRNA (ENSSHBG00005000426.1)
Source: RNAcentral
GUCUGAGGCUUUUUAUUAUUACAACAAAGUUCUUAACAUUCACAAAUUUAAGGUGAGAGAGAAACAGCUAGAAAACAAACCAGGCUGCCACACUGCUGGCAGGCAGGCACUGUCACUGGUGUCACUUCUUUGGCUUUGAGCUCUUGCCUCCCUCCUUCAGGCCAGCACAUCUGCAAAGGCUCUGCUUGAUGCUCUUUGCUCAGUGCCGACAUGGGACAAGGUGGCUUCUGCCACCUCUCUCCUCUGAGCAGACACUUCCAAAAUGUACAGCAAAUUGCACUGCCAGAGGAAGGCCAGCAAGGUAGAAAAAAAAUCUAUACAUAGAGGAGGUAGUAACUGUGAUUUUUAAAUAACCCUUUUGUUUUCUCUUAGCUGACUCACAACUCCCUUCAGCUUUAACACAAAAAAAAACAAACCACAAGAAUACCGAACACGCACAAAAAGGGCCAAAACCCAACAACUUUGUUAUCCUACCAGCAAUAGCCACAGCCUAAAUAGUACUUUUUUUUACUUCAGUGGAGAGACUAGCUAAGAAAAAUGACACCCUUGCUGGUCAGAACAUGUGUUCUUUGCAAGAGGCCAGUCAGAAAAUGAUCAGAGUAGUCUUUAUGCAGAUGAGGAACCACUACUUUUCUCCUGUAACUAGGCGGUGAUUCCACUCAUCAUUACCACUAACAGCAGUCAGUAGCCUAAGCACAGCAGCGCAGGGAUGGGGCUGCUAGUGCCAAACUGUGCCAUGGCUACGCAAGUCAAACGUUACUGAAGGAUCCAGAGCUACAGAAGUGGCCAAAAAUUGUAGCGGCACACACCUACUGUGCAUUACUUGGGUACUUUUGACCCUACCAGUUCACACCAUGUUUGCCAGUUACUUCCAAGCUUGGCUACAGUGAAUCCAAUACUAGCAGGGUUUUUCUCUUGGAAUAAGGCACUACAGCACAGGAGCACUUUAACAGGACUUGAAAGAUUUUACGGCUCUUGACAGAUUAUCUUUGGCUCUUCUAAAGCAGGCAUAAAAAGAAGCACUUUAAGAUAAAUAAGAGGGUGGGGACGUAAGGAGAAGGUACUAGAUGAAACGGUGUGAUUUUUGAAAGUCUUCAGGCAAGAGGCUUGAUCUUACCUUUUAAUCUUUUCACUUGUGCUUACUUACCAGGGUACAGUUGGAAAAAAGAAAGGUCUGUCUUUGCAGUGAAAGCUGGUGCACUUUAUAAAAUAAAGUCACUGGCUUCUGUUUGUCACUUCACUGCAAGGCUUCCACUCAGGUCGGUUUUUCCUCAGAGCAGCUGGUUGAAACAAGCUUCAACUCCAGCUCUCAGGAUUUCCUCUUUACACUGUUAUCGCCACCAAAAGGGAAACCCCCCUUUCUUCUCAACACAUCCCAGUCCCAUUUUUGUUUCCACACAGGUAUUAUCUUUACACCCUUGCACCAAAAAAAAAUUUAAAAAUAAAGAA